RNAcentral lists this ribosomal RNA (449 nucleotides) under uncultured bacterium. Its description in RNAcentral is "partial 16S ribosomal RNA". It matches the Rfam family "Bacterial small subunit ribosomal RNA", at positions 29 to 523 of the family's 1533-position model. The record is from RNAcentral.
AACGAACGCUGGCGGCAUGCCUAACACAUGCAAGUCGAACGAGAUCUUCGGGUCUAGUGGCGCACGGGUGCGUAACGCGUGGGAGUCUGCCCUUUGGUUCGGAAUAACAGUUGGAAACGACUGCUAAUACCGGAUGAUGACGAAAGUCCAAAGAUUUAUCGCCAGAGGAUGAGCCCGCGUAGGAUUAGCUAGUUGGUGUGGUAGAGGCGCACCAAGGCGACGAUCCUUAGCUGGUCUGAGAGGAUGAUCAGCCACACUGGGACUGAGACACGGCCCAGACUCCUACGGGAGGCAGCAGUGGGGAAUAUUGGACAAUGGGCGAAAGCCUGAUCCAGCAAUGCCGCGUGAGUGAUGAGGGCCUUAGGGUUGUAAAGCUCUUUUACCCGGGAUGAUAAUGACAGUACCGGGAGAAUAAGCUCCGGCUAACUCCGUGCCAGCCGCCGCCGUAA